This 75-nucleotide transfer RNA is filed under the name Clostridiaceae bacterium. RNAcentral's name for it is "tRNA-Glu". It matches the Rfam family "tRNA". From Rfam's summary of the family: Transfer RNA (tRNA) molecules are approximately 80 nucleotides in length. Lineage: Bacteria; Bacillati; Bacillota; Clostridia; Eubacteriales; Clostridiaceae. The record is from RNAcentral. RNAcentral also lists the same sequence under 4 other names.
GGCCCCGUGGUCAAGCGGUUAAGACACCGCCCUUUCACGGCGGUAACAGGAGUUCGAGUCUCCUCGGGGUCACCA